AAACCUUACCCACCUUUGACAUGUACGGAAGUUGCCAGAGAUGGCUUCGUGCUCGAAAGAGAGCCGUAACACAGGUGCUGCAUGGCUGUCGUCAGCUCGUGUCGUGAGAUGUUGGGUUAAGUCCCGCAACGAGCGCAACCCUUGCCAUUAGUUGCUACGAAAGGGCACUCUAAUGGGACUGCCGGUGACAAACCGGAGGAAGGUGGGGAUGACGUCAAGUCCUCAUGGCCCUUAUAGGUGGGGCUACACACGUCAUACAAUGGCUGGUACAGAGGGUUGCCAACCCGCGAGGGGGAGCUAAUCCCAUAAAACCAGUCGUAGUCCGGAUCGCAGUCUGCAACUCGACUGCGUGAAGUCGGAAUCGCUAGUAAUCGCGGAUCAGCUUGCCGCGGUGAAUACGUUCCCGGGCA
RNAcentral lists this ribosomal RNA (410 nucleotides) under Aquaspirillum sp. ZS2. RNAcentral's name for it is "bacterial SSU rRNA". It matches the Rfam family "Bacterial small subunit ribosomal RNA", at positions 966 to 1379 of the family's 1533-position model. Lineage: Bacteria; Pseudomonadati; Pseudomonadota; Betaproteobacteria; Neisseriales; Aquaspirillaceae. The record is from RNAcentral.